UGGGGGGUAUUGCACAAUGGGCGAAAGCCUGAUGCAGCGACGCCGCGUGGGGGAUGAAGGCUUUCGGGUUGUAAACCUCUUUCGCUAUCGAACAAGGCCCGCUUAGGGUGGGGUGAGGGUAGGUGGAGAAGAAGCGCCGGCUAACUACGUGCCAGCAGCCGCGGUAAUACGUAGGGCGCGAGCGUUGUCCGGAAUUAUUGGGCGUAAAGGGCUUGUAGGCGGCUUGUUGCGCCUGCUGUGAAAACGCGGGGCUUAACUUCGCGCGUGCAGUGGGUACGGGCAGGCUUGAGUGUGGUAGGGGUGACUGGAAUUCCAGGUGUAGCGGUGGAAUGCGCAGAUAUCUGGAGGAACACCGAUGGCGAAGGCAGGUCACUGGGCCAUUACUGACGCUGAGGAGCGAAAGCAUGGGUAGCGAACAGG
Molecule: ribosomal RNA, 420 nt
Filed under: Fusobacteriota bacterium
Lineage: Bacteria; Fusobacteriati; Fusobacteriota
Description: Fusobacteria bacterium partial 16S ribosomal RNA
Rfam family: Bacterial small subunit ribosomal RNA
Source: RNAcentral